CUACGGGUGGCUGCAGUGAGGAAUUUUGGACAAUGGGGGAAACCCUGAUCCAGCGACGCCGCGUGAAGGAUGAAGGUCUUCGGAUUGUAAACUUCUUUUAUCUGGGAAUAAGAACCCUGUGGAAACAUGGGGAGUGAAUGUACCAGGUGAAUAAGCCACGGCUAACUUCGUGGCCAGCAGCCGCGGUAAUACGAAGGUGGCAAGCGUUACUCGGAAUUACUAGGCGUAAAGGGCAGGUAGGUGGUUUGAUAAGUCUGUUGUGAAAGCUCCUGCUUAACUGGGAGAGGUCAACGGAUACUGUCAGGCUUGAGUAUGGGAGAGGGUACUGGAAUUCCCGGUGUAGCGGUGAAAUGCGCAGAGAUCGGGAGGAACACCUAUGGCGAAAGCAGGUACCUGGACCAUUACUGACACUCAGCUGCGAAAGCUAGGGGAGCAAACAGGAUUAGAUACCCGGGUAGUC
This 460-nucleotide ribosomal RNA is filed under the name uncultured bacterium. Its description in RNAcentral is "partial 16S ribosomal RNA". It matches the Rfam family "Bacterial small subunit ribosomal RNA", at positions 339 to 795 of the family's 1533-position model. The record is from RNAcentral.